Molecule: long non-coding RNA, 2771 nt
Organism: Gallus gallus (chicken)
Lineage: Eukaryota; Metazoa; Chordata; Aves; Galliformes; Phasianidae
Source: Ensembl
GAGCAUACUACUCUGCAGUAGGUACUCAAGUCUGGACAAGAUGUUAUUCAAAAACACAAUUUUCAGUUUUGUUUGCUAUACGAGGUCAAAAUAUUGUAUGUGUGACUUCCUUUUCAUUAUACCGAACACAGAUCUAGCAGGACAUAACUCUCCCUUUCUUGAAAAUGCUUCCCUUUCUCUAGUCACUGGGGACUUUGCCUGACAGCCAUGAUUUUUCAAAUACUUUGGAGAGUGACUUGGCAACCAUAUCAGCCAGUUCCUUUAGAACCCUGGGAUUCACACUGUCUGACUCCAUAAACUUAGAAUCAUAGAGUCAUAGAAUGGCUUGGGUUGGAAGGGACCUCAAGGACCAUUAAAUUCCAUCCUUCUGUACAUUCAGCCUCAUGAAGUGGUCUCAGACUUGUUCCACUCUUAUGCUGGGAGGGAUUUUGCUCCCCUAACUGCCAUUAGAAGUUCAGGGACAUGAGAGGUUUGAGAAACCUGACUGGCAACGAAGACUGAAGCAAAGAACUCAUUAAGUACCUCAGUCUUCUCCAUGUCUGUUUUAGCCAGUUCUCUCUUUUCAUUUACCAGCAAGAUUAAACUUUCCUUUGCCUGUCUCUUCUGUCCAGUGUAUCUAAAGAAUCCCUUGCUGUUUUCCACAUCCCUUGCCAAGUUCAAUCCAUCUGCACCUUGGUUUUCCUGACUCCAUCUCUGUACAUCCAGACAGAAUGCCUCUAUUCUUCCCAGGCCACUCAUCCCUGCUUCCAUAGCUUACACUUUUCUUUCUCUCAGCCUGACCAGCAGGUUCUUGCUCAGCCAUCCUGGUUUCCUGCCUUGUCUGCCUGAUUUCUAAUUCUAGGGGAUGGAGAGCUCAUGUUCUCAGAAAGGCAUCCUUAAUGUGCUGCCAGCUCUCUGUUUCUUUGUCCCAAAGGACAGUUUCCCAGGGGAUCUAUUCCAACAAAUCUUUAAACAGUCUGUAGUUCACUCUCCUGAAGUUCAGGUUCCUUAAGCCACACUCUGCAAGGCCCAUAUUCCUAGAGAUCAUAAACUCAGCCAGAAUAUGAUUGCUGCAGCCCAAGCUAACUAUGAUCUUAACCGCCUGUAUGAUCUCCUCUGCAUUAGCAAGCACCAGGUCUAGCAACACUUCACCUCUGGUCAGUCUGUCUAAUACCUGAACCAGAAAGCUGUCUUCAGUGGACUCCAGGAGUCUCCUAGGCUGCUUGCAGCUCACUGUGUUGCUUUCCCAGAAGAUAACUGAGUAGUUGAAAUCCCUAUCAGGAUGAAGGCCUGCAAUCAUGAUGCUUCCUGUAGCUAAAGCAAGAAGGCCUCAUCAACAAGAUCUCUGUGAUGAAGUAGCCUGUAGUAGACCCUGACCACAAGAUGUCCUUCAUUGGUCUGGUCCCUGAUUUUACCCACAGGCUCUCAACCUGUUCAUAACUGUUUCUUAGAGACAGCUCUUCACAAUCUAUCCACUUUUUAAUAUAGAGGGCAACUCCCUCAUCCAUCCUACCUCACCUAUCCCUUCUAAAAAGCUCACAGCCCUCAGUCAUGGUAUUCCAAUCACAUGAAUCAUCCCACCAUGUUUCCAUGAUAGUAACAAGAUCAGAGUUUUCCAAUUGCACAGUGGUUUCUAGCUCCUCCUGCUUAUUUCCCAUGAUGCAUACAUUGGUAUAAGGGUACCUCAACAUCAUUUUCAGCCUCAUUACCUUCUUGGAGGAGACCUCCCAAAAACCUCUGGGAAAAAACUGAGAUUUUCCCCCACUGCUUCCUAAUGCAGCAGUGUUGCCUGACUCUUUUCUGUUCCUCAGCAGUACAUCCUCUUCCCCCAUCAAAUCUAGUUUAAAACCCUAGUGACAAGCCCUAUCAGCCUGCUACCCGUAUACAUCAUAAGAUGCAGCAGGCCGAGGGCCCCAACUAGGACCUUGUUGCUCUAACUUAGCUAUGCUAUCCCAAACAUUGCUGUGGGCAGGCUCACAGUUAUCUCCUUCCCCCUUCAAACCUGGUUUAAAGACCUGUCAAUGAGCCCAGACAAUCCUUAGGCCAGAAUUCUUUUCCCCCCUUUGCCUCAGGUGGACCUUGUCUGCAGCCAUCAGGCCAGGUGCCAAGUAAACCACUUCACAGUCAAAAAAAAAGCCAAAAUUUCUGAGGUGGUACUAGCCUCUUAGCCAUGUAUUUAUCACAUGGGUUUUUCUGGUCCUCUCAGUGCCUCUGUGCCACUGAAGGGAUAGAGUAAAACACCUCCUGUACUCCUGCUCUGCCCACUAACUGCCCCAGUCCCUCGAAGUUCCUUUUGAUAGCCCUUAGGCCUCUCUCUGUGACUUCAUCACCGCCAGCCUGAACUAAGCCUGAUGAAAAUCAGAUCACCUCUCCAGCUCUGACUGGGCCACUGCUGAGCUUAUGUGCUCAAGGGUUCCUUUUUCUUUUCUUAAACCUGAGCUCAGCAGUCUUGCACUGAAGUCUCCAAAGGAAAUGAAAAGAGGAAAAGGGAGAAAUCAGAGUGAAAUUUUGGUUAGGUUUAUUGAUAGAAAUAUCAUGAGUGCUUUUUUAGUUUUCUGAUAAAUUGACUUGUCAUGUUCCCCACAGAAAGGAAUCAGUAAGGCAGUCAUGCAAUAUAGACAGUGAAGUAGUGCAGAAACACUUGCUGGUACACUGAAUUAUGUAUCUGGCCAGAAGACAGCUAGGUAUGGCAGUCAGAGAUGUGUAAGCAUCAAUAUCUUUAUGCUAGUGUCAUAUUGUGAUAAAUAGAUUAACCAAGUUAUCUUCAAAUAUUCUCUUGAGAGCUCUAUAAU